UACGGAGGGGGCAAGCGUUGUCCGGAUUUAUUAGGCGUAAAGAGCGUGUAGGCGGCUAGAUAGGUCCGUUGUGAAAACUCGAGGCUCAACCUCGAGACGUCGAUGGAAACCAUCUGGCUAGAGUCCGGAAGAGGAGAGUGGAAUUCCUGGUGUAGCGGUGAAAUGCGCAGAUAUCAGGAAGAACACCCGUGGCGAAGGCGGCUCUCUGGUACGUGACUGACGCUGAGACGCGAAAGCGUGGGGAGCAAACAGG
RNAcentral lists this ribosomal RNA (253 nucleotides) under uncultured bacterium. Its description in RNAcentral is "partial 16S ribosomal RNA". It matches the Rfam family "Bacterial small subunit ribosomal RNA", at positions 524 to 776 of the family's 1533-position model. The record is from RNAcentral.